UUUUUUUUUUUGCUCUUAAAAAGAAAAAUCUAGCCUGUUCUUGAACUGAGAGGAACCUGUGAUUGUAUGCUAAUGCUUGCUCUUUGCCUGUUUCUCAGCUUGGUGAAGUUUUCCAGAUGAUUUUCCAAAGUCGUUGCUCAUCAUAAAAGCAAAAGGUCACUUAACAUAUUUAUAUGUAUUUGUAACAAAUAAAAGACAUGAAUAACCACUUUCUCUGUCCUACAUGUCUCUGAAGCCAGCUGGCAGUCAAAGCAAAACCCCUGCUGAAGGAAGGUAAAGCAGAGACAGUCAUUUGUGGAGGAGCAGCGUGGUGAAGUUAGGUGAAUGAUGGGAAUACUCGGAAAAAGCUUGUGAACAUUCAGCUCCUUAACAGCAGGGAUUUGAUUUUUCUCCAGUUUCUCAUGAAUCGUGAGCACAUAAAAAAUGUUGUUUAUGCCUGACCUUUAGAGUCAAGUAGGAAGAGAUUUUAGCUUGUGUAUGUUGACGCUUGCUGGAGAAUGCUGUGCCCUGAAAGUGGUGUUCGAAAGGGGAUAUUGUAGCAUCAACCUUAGCUCUGUGGGCACCCAUGUAAAACGUGGCAGGGGAGGAAAUUGCUUAAAGACUCUGCUUAUGCCUUUGGCUUGGUUUUCUGUUAUAGCCACAGCUUGACCCUAGACCUAUGUGUGGAGUUUCGGCCAUUUAGUGUCAUGACUAAACUAAUGAUCUCUUGCCAAGUAUUGACUGUGUUAGUACAAGUUACACAGCGAGUCCCUCGCUGGUGAGGUUUCUGAUGUCGCUUGUGUUGACUUAAUUUGGUUUCCUGGUUUAUGCUGUUUAAUGCUUUGGUGCCUUGUAUGCCUCACUAAUCACUAUAUAAUAAUAGUAAUAAUUAAGGUGCAUCCAGUGAUUUCUGUUCAGAUUGGAGUACCCACCCAAUGUCAGAGCAACCGCAUAAACUGGUACAGUCGCAGCCUGAGGGGCUGGAGCUGUCCGUGGCCAUUUGUGUUAGGAGUGGGGUGUAACUAUUUAGGGUUAUUAAACCAAUUUCCAUGCCUGUCGCUAGUGUUAUGCUAAUGUGAAAAGGACUGCCAUCCCUCUAAAGCUGCUUGUCUGUGGCACUUAAUUUUAAUUAAUACAUUUCCAAAAGACUUUCUGUGUUUGCAAAACCAAGUGUGUGAUUAAGCCUCAUUCAUAAAGACAUAUCUUUAAAACUGGUUCCCACAUGUUUCCAUUUUUAUAUCUUCAUUUCUUUUUUUUUUUACAGGAUAGCUUUACAAACAGUUUAUUUGUUGUACUUUUUUCCGUAAAAGAAAGUCUUAAAUACUCUUCAAAGGCAUCUGAUGAAGCAGAAGCCAACCAAAACCACUGCUGAAGCAGAAAUGACUGGAAACUGCAAAUCAGCAAAGGUCAUUUGCUGACUGAGUUGUUGCUACAUAAUAUUUGGGAGGAAAGAAAGGUCAGUUUAACAGAGAAUCAUGAUUUUUAGGUAAAUGUUUACUACUUCUGGUUAAAAUUAUAGAAGAUUGAGCACUUGGGAAUAGUUAAAUGGAGAUUAGUUUAACUGUUCAUUUUUCACCAAAAUUGAAGUACUUGGACAAUAAAGUAUUUAAGAGCUUAAUAUUAAAUAUGAGUUAGGUUUGGUUAAAGACUUGCACUAGUACUAAUGGAAUUUAUAAUUGCUUCUUUCUCAAAUCAUUAUGGCAAAAAAUGUGGCUUGCUAAUUUUAGAGCCUAAAAAAGUCUUCACAGCCUUAGAGACAAGCUAUUUUUGGAACAAUGGUUUUUAGUAUCGUGGUGAUUUAAUUUUUUCCCCUAUAAUUUACAUCAGUAAAAAGCUUCCUCAUGUUACUGUAUCUACCUAGAAUCCUAAAAAUACACCUUUGGAGAGUCCUUGAAAUAUUUGAGAGCCCGCUUCGAAUUAAACAGUCUUAGGAGGCUGAACAUGGAAUUUCAAAUAUAGGAGAUAAAACCUGAAUUAAAGAAAAUUUUGAUAGGAAAAAUAGCAAGCUUGAGUGUCUCAAGUAUUGUUAAAAGGCUAGGUGUUAAAACAGAAAUGUAGAACUUCACAAAGCAAUGCUAGAGAAACUUGUAAAUCAUUAUUAAAUUACAGGGGUUUUAAUUCAAAAGUAAAAAGAAAUCGAACUGUAACUUUUCAUGCAACGAACAAAUUAAUAUUAACUAAAGCAAGUUCACUAACUUCUCAGUUAAUCUGAAAGUUCAGCGCUGCGAGUUGCUUCUACCCACUGCAGACUUGUAGGAUUUUAACUCUUCUCGCUCAAGAGUUGAAUCCCAUGCUGAGCCCAUUGCAUUUCCCUUUGACAGAAGGAUCUGUAUCUAUGUGAUUUAUGCUUUGUGCUGAGCUGCUGCUAAAACUGCUGCCAAGGGAAUGCCUAAUACCACUGGAAAGAUGAUUUUGUUGGGAGGGGAUGAACUAGCAUCUGAUUAUUGUGUUUGUGUGUGAAGCAUCGUUGCUAACCUUGCAGAUGUGCAUGGUUAUCCUGAGGAUGAGAUCCUGUAACUUGUCAUUUGUUUUUCCCCUUCGCUGGCAUAUGAAAAACAGCUUACUUUGUGUACCAUGUAAGGUUUUAAGUGUCUGCUUCCAGUUGAUGUUUCAGAGAAUAUAAAGAGAGGACUUCAAAAUGCUGAAGGUCUUUUUAUUUCUGCUCAAAUGUUCUUGUUAUGCUGCCUGCUUCCUUUUUCCAAGAAGGAUUUAUGGUGUAUGCUCAGAUGGAACUGAAAUACAGAUCAUGUGUUCUAAUGUA
This 2740-nucleotide long non-coding RNA is filed under the name Strigops habroptila (Kakapo). RNAcentral describes it as "lncRNA (ENSSHBG00005010543.1)". The record is from RNAcentral. Lineage: Eukaryota; Metazoa; Chordata; Aves; Psittaciformes; Psittacidae.